This 1335-nucleotide long non-coding RNA is filed under the name Homo sapiens (human). Its description in RNAcentral is "HSALNT0318161". Lineage: Eukaryota; Metazoa; Chordata; Mammalia; Primates; Hominidae. The record is from RNAcentral.
CCAGGAUAGGGCGAUCCUGGAAGCUGGGCUUCGGAAGCGUGCAGAAACUCCUAGAGGGCAGAGGCAUGCCUGCCAUCUUCAUCAUUGCAUUACCAUCACCCAACACUAUCAGGGGACCUGCCCUGAUAAUCAGUCUACAGUUGUAUCCAGCAGCUCCAGAGAGACAGCGACCAGCAAGAAGGGGCCAUGAUGAUGGUGGUGGUUUUUUCAAAACGAAAAGGGGGAUAUGUAGGGAAAAGAAAGAGAGAUCAGACUCUUACAGACUCUUACUGUGUCUACAUAGAAAGGGAAGACAUAAGAGACUCCAUUUGGAAAAAGACCUGUACUUUAAACAAUUGCUUUGCUGAGAUGUUGUUAAUCUGUAGCUUUGCCCCAGCCACUUUGCCCCAACCACUUUGACCCAGUCUGGAGCUCACAAAAACAUGUGUUGUAUGAAAUCAAGGUUUAAGGCAUGUAGGGCUGUGCAGGAUGUGCCUUGUUAACCAAAUGUUUGCAAGCAGUAUACUUGGUAAAAGUCAUCACCAUUCUCUUGUCUCAAUAAACCAGGGGCACAAUGCACUGUGGAAAGCCGCAGGGACCUCUGCCCUUGAAAGCUGGGUAUUAUUCAAAGUUUCCCCCCAUGUGAUAGUCUGAAAUAUGGCCUCGUGGGAUGAGAAAGGCCUGACGGUCCCCUAGCCCGACACCCAUAAAAGGUCUGUGCUGAGGUGGAUUAGUCAAAGAGGAAAGACUCUUGCAUUUGAGAUAGAGGAAGGCCACUGUCUCCUGCCUGCCCCUGGGAACUGAAUGUCUCGGUAUAAAACACGAUUGUACAUUUGUUCAAUUCUGAGAUGGGAGAAAAACCGCCCUAUGGUGGGAGGUGAGACAUGUUUACAGCAAUACUGCCUUGAUAUUCUUUACUCCACUGAGAUGUUUGGGUGGAGAGAAACAUAAAUCUGGCUUACAUGCACGUUCAGUCAUAGUACCUUCCCUUGAACUUCAUUAUGACAUAGAUUCUAUUGCUCACAUGUUUGUUGCUGACCUUCUUAUUAUCACCCUGCCCUCCUACUACAUUCCUUUUUGCUGAAAUAAUAAAGAUAGUAUUCAAUAAAAACUGAGGGAACUCAGAGACCGGUGCCAGUGCAGGUCCUUGGUAUGCUAAGCGCCGGUACCCUGGGCCCACUGUUGUUUCUCUAUACUUUGUUUCUGUGUCUGAUUUCUUUUCUGUCUCUCAUCCCACCCAACAAGAAAUACCCACAGGUGUGGAGGGGCAGGCCACCCCUUCAGUAUGAGAUUACAGGCAUGAAUAACCCCACCUGGCCACCUAACUCACACUUGAGAGGCCAGAAGUGAUGCUGG